This 320-nucleotide small RNA is filed under the name Pan troglodytes (chimpanzee). Its description in RNAcentral is "retained intron". The record is from RNAcentral. Lineage: Eukaryota; Metazoa; Chordata; Mammalia; Primates; Hominidae.
GCCCAGGGAGAGAAGAUUCGAGACCUGGAAGUGUGUCUGGAAGGACACCAGGUGAAACUCAAUGCUGCUGAAGAGAUGCUUCAACAGGAGCUGCUAAGCCGCACAUCUCUUGAGACCCAGAAGCUCGAUCUGAUGACUGAAGUGUCUGAGCUGAAGCUCAAGCUGGUUGGCAUGGAGAAGGAGCAGAGAGAGCAGGAGGAGAAGCAGAGAAAAGCAGAGGUAAGGGUGAGUGUGUACUGUCCUAAGCUCAGACCUGGGAAGGCUGUCAUAAUGUGAAUUUAGGCCAUCUGGUCAACUCCCAGCCUGGAAGCUAUUGGGUG